CAGGCUUAACACAUGCAAGUCGAGGGGCAGCAUGGUCUUAGCUUGCUAAGGCCGAUGGCGACCGGCGCACGGGUGAGUAACGCGUAUCCAACCUGCCUUACACUCUUGGACAGCCUUCUGAAAGGGAGAUUAAUACAAGAUGUUAUCAUGAGUAAGCAUUUUCACAUGAUUAAAGGUUUACCGGUGUAAGAUGGGGAUGCGUUCCAUUAGAUAGUAGGCGGGGUAACGGCCCACCUAGUCUUCGAUGGAUAGGGGUUCUGAGAGGAAGGUCCCCCACAUUGGAACUGAGACACGGUCCAAACUCCUACGGGAGGCAGCAGUGAGGAAUAUUGGUCAAUGGACGAGAGUCUGAACCAGCCAAGUAGCGUGAAGGAUGAAGGUUCUAUGGAUUGUAAACUUCUUUUAUACGGGAAUAAACGAAUCCACGUGUGGAUUUUUGCAUGUACCGUAUGAAUAAGGAUCGGCUAACUCCGUGCCAGCAGCCGCGGUAAUACGGAGGAUCCGAGCGUUAUCCGGAUUUAUUGGGUUUAAAGGGAGCGUAGAUGGGUUGUUAAGUCAGUUGUGAAAGUUUGCGGCUCAACCGUAAAAUUGCAAUUGAUACUGGCAGUCUUGAGUACAGUUGAGGUAGGCGGAAUUCGUGGUGUAGCGGUGAAAUGCUUAGAUAUCACGAAGAACUCCGAUUGCGAAGGCAGCUUACUAACCUGUAACUGACAUUGAUGCUCGAAAGUGUGGGUAUCAAACAGGAUUAGAUACCCUGGUAGUCCACACGGUAAACGAUGAAUACUCGCUGUAGGCGAUAUACAGUCUGCGGCCAAGCGAAAGCAUUAAGUAUUCCACCUGGGGAGUACGCCGGCAACGGUGAAACUCAAAGGAAUUGACGGGGGCCCGCACAAGCGGAGGAACAUGUGGUUUAAUUCGAUGAUACGCGAGGAACCUUACCCGGGCUUAAAUUGCAACCGAAUAUGGCGGAAACGCUAUAGCUAGCAAUAGCGGUUGUGAAGGUGCUGCAUGGUUGUCGUCAGCUCGUGCCGUGAGGUGUCGGCUUAAGUGCCAUAACGAGCGCAACCCUUGCCGAUAGUUACUAACAGGUCAUGCUGAGGACUCUGUCGGGACUGCCAUCGUAAGAUGUGAGGAAGGUGGGGAUGACGUCAAAUCAGCACGGCCCUUACGUCCGGGGCUACACACGUGUUACAAUGGGGGGUACAGAGGGCUGCUACCACGCAAGUGGAUGCCAAUCCCAAAAACCUCUCUCAGUUCGGAUUGAAGUCUGCAACCCGACUUCAUGAAGCUGGAUUCGCUAGUAAUCGCGCAUCAGCCACGGCGCGGUGAAUACGUUCCCGGGCCUUGUACACACCGCCCGUCAAGCCAUGGGAGCCGGGGGUACCUGAAGUGCGUAACCGCAAGGAGCGCCCUAGGGUAAAACUGGUGACUGGGGC
This 1436-nucleotide ribosomal RNA is filed under the name uncultured organism. RNAcentral's name for it is "16S ribosomal RNA". It matches the Rfam family "Bacterial small subunit ribosomal RNA". The record is from RNAcentral.